This 395-nucleotide unclassified non-coding RNA is filed under the name Hevea brasiliensis (rubber tree). The record is from RNAcentral. Lineage: Eukaryota; Viridiplantae; Streptophyta; Magnoliopsida; Malpighiales; Euphorbiaceae.
AAAAUAUUUCAUGAGCACACCCUUGAUAAGGGCCAAGAACUAAAAAAUCUAGCAUAACUAUUAUAUAUAAUGUAGUUCUUUUCAUGUGAAGUUUCGAAUUCCACUAAUCUGAAGAAAUAGGAAGUCCUACAGGCCAUUUUCCAAACCCACAUAACAACUAAGAACUGACAAAGCAGCACGGGUGUACCUCUAAGGGGCAAAAAUGUAAAAAACAGUAGCCAGACAGGAGAGUCAUUGUCUAAAUGGAUGAUUCUAACUAAGAAUGUUCACGAAUAAAAACAACAAAACUGGAAAACACGGAAUCAACAAGCACGGUUUUGAAGUCCAGAAUUUGAAUCCGACGUUCAAAAAGGCUGCCCAUAGCAUCAAGUAAAGCCCCACUGCCACAGUUUUUG